RNAcentral lists this long non-coding RNA (622 nucleotides) under Setaria viridis. RNAcentral describes it as "long non-coding RNA (SVIR_LNC009548)". Lineage: Eukaryota; Viridiplantae; Streptophyta; Magnoliopsida; Poales; Poaceae. The record is from RNAcentral.
AACGGUGGGCUCCAGCGUGGUGGCAGCUAGGGUUGCGGAGGCGCUAGAGAACUCAAGGCGGCUAGGGUUUGGUGGGAAGUCUUGAGGUGCGGUGGCAGCGGUAUAUAUAUAGCUUGGGAGGAGGGCGUCAUGGCAUGCGGGCCAAGCGGAGCGGUGUAGGCGGUUGGAGGACGGAGGUGGUAGGUGGGACCCGCCUGUCAUCGGGAGGUAGCGGGCGCACUGCAAGAACGACCAGCGUGGGAAGCUAGGUCGAGAUAGGGGUGGAGGCGGGCUGGCGCUGGGCCGCUAUGCUACUGGGCUGAAAAAGGGACAACGGGCCAAAAGAAGGAAGCAAGUCGAAAGGAAAAGAAGAAAAGGUAGGGAAAAGAAAAGGGUUUGUUAUUGUUCAAAAAGGUUCAAACAAAUGAAUUCAAAUUUAGCAACCAAAAACAAUGUAGCAGCAUGAAUGCAACAAUGAACUCCUAUGAUUCAUUAAGUUAUUUUGAAAGAGAUUUAAUUGCCUAAGAAAAUUUAAAUGCGACCUUAAAAUCUUUAGACACACGCAUUCACUUUCUAGCAAAUUUUAUUAAAUUGCAAAGUUUGAAAAUUAGGGUGUUACAGCCAACCUGUUCCAAACAAUGAG